Molecule: ribosomal RNA, 448 nt
Filed under: uncultured Comamonadaceae bacterium
Lineage: Bacteria; Pseudomonadati; Pseudomonadota; Betaproteobacteria; Burkholderiales; Comamonadaceae
Description: bacterial SSU rRNA
Rfam family: Bacterial small subunit ribosomal RNA
Source: RNAcentral
AGAGUUUGAUCAUGGCUCAGAUUGAACGCUGGCGGAAUGCUUUACACAUGCAAGUCGAACGGCAGCACGGGGGUGACCCUGGUGGCGAGUGGCGAACGGGUGAGUAAUACAUCGGAACGUGCCCAGUCGUGGGGGAUAACUACGCGAAAGCGUAGCUAAUACCGCAUACGAUCUAUGGAUGAAAGCGGGGGACCGCAAGGCCUCGCGCGAUUGGAGCGGCCGAUGGCAGAUUAGGUAGUUGGUGGGGUAAAGGCCUACCAAGCCGACGAUCUGUAGCUGGUCUGAGAGGACGAUCAGCCACACUGGAACUGAGACACGGUCCAGACUCCUACGGGAGGCAGCAGUGGGGAAUUUUGGACAAUGGGGGCAACCCUGAUCCAGCCAUGCCGCGUGAGUGAAGAAGGCCUUCGGGUUGUAAAGCUCUUUCGGCGGGGACGAAACGGUUCGU